RNAcentral lists this ribosomal RNA (1128 nucleotides) under Triticum aestivum (bread wheat). Its description in RNAcentral is "partial small subunit ribosomal RNA". The record is from RNAcentral. Lineage: Eukaryota; Viridiplantae; Streptophyta; Magnoliopsida; Poales; Poaceae.
AUGAUGUCCGGCUUCGACCUGCAAGGACGGUGGAUGCCUUCCUCCCUUACGGAAGAAGACAUGCUAAAGCUAAGAGAUGCCAGGUAUUUAACCGGCGAAAUUUCGCAUAGGCUGCCUGCCCAAGGGCAGGUUAUUCCCACUCCCAAGCCUGGUGAAAGCGUGGUGUUCGCGUCUCACUUCCUUCGGGGGCUAAGCUUCCCGACGGACCCCUUCAUGAGGGGGCUCAUGUUUUACUAUGGGUUGGAAUUUCACGACUUGGAUCCGGAGUCCAUCCUCCACAUCUCAUCGUUCAUCGUCGUGUGCGAAGCCUUCCUCCGCAUUACCCCUCACUUCGGAUUGUGGCUCAAGACCUUCAAAGUGGAGCCGAAGAUGAUCAAGUGGCGACAAGCAGAGUGCGUAGGGGCUGUUAUAAGCAAGAAUGCUGAUGCUCAGUGGCCCGAGGGAUCUUUUCAAGAGGAGCUCAGUUUAUGGCAACAAGAGUGGUUUUAUAUCACAGUUCCCAGGGGCACCAAAUGGGCGGUGCCACCUGCCUUUCGCUCGGGUCCUCCACCGCGGCUGGCGUCCUGUGUCAAUAAAGGGCUUGACUGGGGGCCGUCCAAGGACGUGCCCUUGCUGCAGGGCCGCAUUCGAGACCUCCUAGAGAGAGAGAUCACUUUGGUCGUAGUAGUGCAGGUCAUGCUGAUUCGUCGCAUCCUGCCCUGCAGACAUCGCCCCCUCCGCCUGUGGGAAUUUAACCCGGAGGGACCACGAGCUCUCCAACAUUUUAUGGGCGCGAUGCCCAUGGAGAUGUACAAGCUUUUCUUAGGAUCACAAGAGAUGUGUCCGGACUUGACCGAGGACACAGGUCUGAGCCGCAAUCGCCCCGAUACUCAAGAGUGGAUAGCGAAAGCAAAGUUAAUCAGGUGUUCGGCCCCCCUCCCUGAGAUCACGCCGGAUCCCGUGUUAACCAGAAUGCUGGAAGUUGCACCUUCGGAAGAAGGUGAAGGGGGGAACAAGGAAGCCACCGCCUCCGCGAAGGAGGCUGUGAGGAAAGGAGGGAUCGAGAAUACCUCCAUCCAAGGGAAGAAGAUGACCGCCUCUGAAGACCCGGAGAUCAUGGUCUCAAAGCGGGAGAAGAAAUCUUCAUGA